Molecule: ribosomal RNA, 253 nt
Filed under: uncultured bacterium
Lineage: Bacteria
Description: partial 16S ribosomal RNA
Rfam family: Bacterial small subunit ribosomal RNA
Source: RNAcentral
UACAGAGGUCCCAAGCGUUGUUCGGAUUCACUGGGCGUAAAGAGCGUGUAGGCGGCUAGAUAGGUCCGUUGUGAAAACUGGAGGCUCAACCUCCAGCUGUCGAUGGAAACCAUCUGGCUAGAGUCCGGAAGAGGAGAGUGGAAUUCCUGGUGUAGCGGUGAAAUGCGCAGAUAUCAGGAGGAACACCGAUGGCGAAGGCAGGUCUCUGGGCCAUAACUGACGCUGAGAAGCGAAAGCAUGGGGAGCGAACAGG